AGUAAUGAAUAAUAGAUUUGAAAUAUUUAUUAUAUAGAUUUAAAGAAAUAAUCAUAGAAUACAUAAGUUAUUAAUAGUUAUUAGGUUACUAAUAAAUAAAUAAAUAAAUUUAUUUUAAUACCUAAGGUAAACCAUAAAAAAUUAUUUAUUUAAAUAAAUAAUUAUUAUAAAUAUACUAAGUGAACUGAAACAUCUAAGUAACUUAAGGAUAAAAAAUCAACCGAGAUAUUAUGAGUAUUGGUGAGAGAAAAUAAUAUAGUUAAUAAUCCAUAUCGCCUACACCCUUUAGGGGUGUUGGAUAGGUAGGAUUAUAUAUAAGUAUUAUGUAAUAUAAUUAUGUAAGAAUAUAGGACAAACUAGUUCUAAAACUAAAUACUAUUAAUAAACAAAAUAAGUACCGAAAGGGAAAGUAUGUAAGUGGUUAUUUUAUAAGUAAUCAUAGAUAUAAAUUUUAUAUUAAUGAUGUACCUUUUGUAUAAUGGGUCAGCAAGUAAUUAAUAUUAGCAAAAUCAAUAAAAUUAUAAAAAAAUUGAUAAUAUUUCCUUUUUUAUAUUGGAUAAUUAAGUUAAUAUUAAUUGACCCGAAAGCAAAUGAUCUUACUAUGACCAGACGGUUAAACGGUCGAACAGGUUGAUGUUGCAAUAUCAUCUGAUGAGUUGUGGUAAGUAGUGAAAGACAAAUCUGAUUUGCAGAUAGCUGGUUUUCUACGAAAUAUAUGUUAGUAUAGCUUUUAUAAUAAUAAUUAUUAUAAUCCAACGGAUUAUAAAGAACGGUACAGCAACAAAUAUAUUUAGGGGAACUAUUGUAGUUUUAUCAAAAAUAUUUGAUCUCGAAAUGUUUAAUUAUGAUUAUAAGAAGUCAGAUUAUGUGCGAUAAGGUAAAUAAUCUAAAGGGAAACAGCCCAGAUUAAUAUAUAAGGUUCCUAAUUACAUGAAAUAAUAAGUGAAAUAAAUAUUAAAAUAUUAUAAUACAAUCAGUUAAUGGAUUUGACAAUAACCAUUUUUUAAUGAACAUGUAACAAUGCACUGAUCUAUAUAUAAUCUUUUUAAUAAGAUUAUUAUUAUAUAAUAUUAUAAAUUUUUCUUUAUAAAAAAAGAAAAUUAAUAAACAAUAUACGGAUCUUUUACAAAAAUUUUAAAAAUUAUUUAACCGAAUAUUUAAAUAUUAUUAUUAAUUUAAAUAAUAAUAAUAUGGUAGUAGAACAUUUAAUGAAAAAAUAUAUUAAUUAUUAAUUAAUAUAUAAUAAAAUAUAUAAAUAUAUUUUUAAUAAUUUUGUAUUUUUGUAUAAAAAUACAAAAUUAUGAAAUAGUAAUUAAAUAGAGAAUGCUGACAUGAGUAACGAAAAAAAGGUUAAACCUUUUCACCUAAAACAUAAGGUUUUACUAUAAAAGUACGGCCCUUAAUUAAAUUAUAUAAAUAUAAUCUAAGAUAGGAUAAUUCUAAAUUAAAUAUUACAUCUUUUAUUUAUCAAAAAAUUAUAAAAGAUCAAGAAAUACUUUUAAUUUAUACCGUAAUGUAUACCGACUCAGGUAUGUUAGUAGAGAAUAUUAAGGUGAAUUAGAUAAUUAAAGGGAAGGAACUCGGCAAAAAUAGCUCUAACGUUAGUCAAUAAAGAGAUAAUUAAAAACAAGGUUGUACAACUGUUUAAUAAAAACACCGCACUUUGCAUAAACGAUAAGUUAACGUAUAAGGUGUGAACUCUGCUCCAUGCUUAACAUAUAAAUAAUAUUAUUUAAUGAUAAUAUUAUUAAAUUUAAGUAAAUAGCAGCCUUAUUAUGAGGGUUCUAAGGUAGCGAAAUUCAUUGUCCAAUAAUUAUGGUCCUGCAUGAAUGACGUAAUGAUACAACAACUGUCUCCCCUUUAAGCUAAGUGAAAUUAAAAUCGCAGUGAAGAUGCUGUGUACCUAUAGUGUGACGGAAAGACCCUAUGCAGCUUUACUGUAAUUAGAUAGAUCGAAUUAUUGUAUAUUAUAUUCAGAAUAUUAAGUAAUUGAUUAAAUUUAAAUGAGAUACUUAUUAUAAUAAUAUAAUAAUUCUAAUCUUAAUAAAACCUUUUAUAAGGUUAUUUAAUAGAUAUUAUUCUUAAAUAAAAUAUUAUAUAUUAUGUAUAUAUUAUAUAUAUAGUUCCCCCCCCCUUGCGGGGGGGGGGCAACGAAGUAGUUAAUAUAUAAUAUAAUAAUAAGAGACAAUCUCUAAUUGGUAGUUUUGAUGGGGCGUCAUUUUCAGCAAUAAUAUCUGAAUAAGUCUAUAUAUAAAUUAUAAUAUUAUUUAAAAAAUAAAAAUAUAUAUUAUAUAUAUUAAUUAUAAAUAGGAAUAUAUUUCUUUAAAGAAAUUUUUAUUUUUUUUAAGUUAUAUAUUUUUGUAAUAGAAAAAAUCAUGUAUAGUAAAAUUGUCUAGAAAACAAUAAUAAUAAUAUUAUUUCUAUUUAGUAGAAAUUUAUAUUAUAUAAUAAAAUGUAUUAAAUUAAUAUAAUGGUAUAACUAUGCAACAAUUAUAACACAAACAAGUGAAAUAAGUACGUAAGUAUGGCAUAAUGAACAAAUAACACUGAUUGUAAUGGUUAUUGAUAACGAAUAAAAGUUACGCUAGGGAUAACAGGGUAAUAUAGCGAAAGAGUAGAUAUUGUAAGCUAUGUUUGCCACCUCGAUGUCGACUCUACCUAUCCUCUUGGUUGUAAAUGCUAAGAAGGGUUUGACUGUUCGUCAAUUAAAAGGUAACGUGAGUUGGGUUAAAUACGAUGUAAAUCAGUAUGGUUCCUAUCUACUAUAGGUAAUAUUAUCAACUUAAGUCUUAUUCUUAGUACGCAAGGAUCAGAAUGAAUUAAUCCAUGGUGUAUCUAUUGAUUAUUUUAUAAUAUAUAUAUAUAUUUAUAUAUAUAUAUUAUCUAUAUUAAUUUAUAUUUAAUAUUAUAGUCACAGUAGAUAAGCUAAAUUAAUAAAUAAUAAGUAUUGAAAGCAUAUAAAAUACGAAGUUGUCUUAAGAUGAGAUAAUAAUCUGAUUAUUUUAGACUAAAAUAAUAUAAGUAUCCAAUCCCACUACCUCCUUCGGAGGUGGAGGGAAUCAGAUCAAUAAAAUAGGUUUUUUAUAUAUAUAUAUAAAAAAAUACUAAUUUAUCAGUUAUCUAUAUAAUAUCUAAUCUAUUAUUCAUUAAUAUAACCCUAUAUAAAUCUAUGAAAGAGGUGAAAUAUAAUUUAAUAUUUCUAUUAUAUUUGUUCAUUUAUUUUAUUUUAUUUUAUUUUAUUUUAUUUAAUUGGUAUUUGAAUCUCAUAUAAAAAUAUAGUUAUAUUAGCUCAAUUGGUAGAGCGUUCGUUUUGUAAUCGAAAGGUUUGGGGUUCAAAUCCCUAAUAUAACAUAAUAUACUUUUUCCAUAAUAGAUACCAUCUUUCCUCCUUUCCCUCCUGUUAUAUAAAUAAAAUUUGUAGUUCCCCCCCUUGCGGGGGGGGGGACGACGGA
RNAcentral lists this small RNA (3452 nucleotides) under Torulaspora delbrueckii. RNAcentral describes it as "large subunit ribosomal RNA". The stretch from base 126 to 3085 matches the Rfam family "Bacterial large subunit ribosomal RNA". Lineage: Eukaryota; Fungi; Ascomycota; Saccharomycetes; Saccharomycetales; Saccharomycetaceae. The record is from RNAcentral.